Molecule: ribosomal RNA, 496 nt
Filed under: uncultured bacterium
Lineage: Bacteria
Description: partial 16S ribosomal RNA
Rfam family: Bacterial small subunit ribosomal RNA
Source: RNAcentral
GAUGAACGCUGGCGGCGUGCCUAAUACAUGCAAGUCGAGCGAACAGACGAGGAGCUUGCUCCUCUGACGUUAGCGGCGGACGGGUGAGUAACACGUGGAUAACCUACCUAUAAGACUGGGAUAACUUCGGGAAACCGGAGCUAAUACCGGAUAAUAUAUUGAACCGCAUGGUUCAAUAGUGAAAGACGGUUUUGCUGUCACUUAUAGAUGGAUCCGCGCCGCAUUAGCUAGUUGGUAAGGUAACGGCUUACCAAGGCAACGAUGCGUAGCCGACCUGAGAGGGUGAUCGGCCACACUGGAACUGAGACACGGUCCAGACUCCUACGGGAGGCAGCAGUAGGGAAUCUUCCGCAAUGGGCGAAAGCCUGACGGAGCAACGCCGCGUGAGUGAUGAAGGCCUUCGGAUCGUAAAACUCUGUUAUUAGGGAAGAACAAAUGUGUAAGUAACUAUGCACGUCUUGACGGUACCUAAUCAGAAAGCCACGGCGAACUACGU